RNAcentral lists this ribosomal RNA (500 nucleotides) under uncultured bacterium. RNAcentral's name for it is "bacterial SSU rRNA". It matches the Rfam family "Bacterial small subunit ribosomal RNA", at positions 8 to 507 of the family's 1533-position model. The record is from RNAcentral.
AGAGUUUGAUCAUGGCUCAGAUUGAACGCUGGCGGCAUGCCUUACACAUGCAAGUCGAACGGUAACGGGCCUUCGGGUGCCGACGAGUGGCGAACGGGUGAGUAAUGCAUCGGAACGUACCCUUCAGUGGGGAUAACGUAGCGAAAGUUACGCUAAUACCGCAUAUUCUGUGAGCAGGAAAGCAGGGGAUCGCAAGACCUUGCGCUGAUUGAGCGGCCGAUGUCAGAUUAGCUAGUUGGUGAGGUAAAGGCCCACCAAGGCGACGAUCUGUAGCGGGUCUGAGAGGAUGAUCCGCCACACUGGAACUGAGACACGGUCCAGACUCCUACGGGAGGCAGCAGUGGGGAAUUUUGGACAAUGGGGCAACCCUGAUCCAGCCAUGCCGCGUGAGUGAAGAAGGCCUUCGGGUUGUAAAGCUCUUUCGGCCGGGAAGAAAUCGCAUGGGUUAAUACCCUGUGCGGAUGACGGUACCGGCAUAAGAAGCACCGGCUAACUACGUG